UACGGGGGGGGUAAGCGUUGUUCGGAAUUACUGGGCGUAAAGGGCUCGUAGGCGGCCAACUAAGUCGGACGUGAAAUCCCUCAGCUUAACUGGGGAACUGCGUCCGAUACUGGAUGGCUUGGAUUUGGGAGAGGGAUGCGGAAUUCCAGGUGUAGCGGUGAAAUGCGUAGAUAUCUGGAGGAACACCGGUGGCGAAGGCGGCAUCCUGGACCAAUUCUGACGCUGAGGCACGAAAGCGUGGGGAGCAAACAGG
This 253-nucleotide ribosomal RNA is filed under the name uncultured bacterium. RNAcentral describes it as "partial 16S ribosomal RNA". It matches the Rfam family "Bacterial small subunit ribosomal RNA", at positions 524 to 776 of the family's 1533-position model. The record is from RNAcentral.